RNAcentral lists this non-coding RNA (25 nucleotides) under Mus musculus (house mouse). The record is from RNAcentral. Lineage: Eukaryota; Metazoa; Chordata; Mammalia; Rodentia; Muridae.
UGGAAGCAGUUUGGCCUUGGAGGUA